GCCAGCGUGGUGGAAUGGCAGACACGGCAGACUCAAAAUCUGCUGGGGGCAACCCUGUGAGAGUUCAAGUCUCUCCGCUGGCA
RNAcentral lists this transfer RNA (83 nucleotides) under Spirochaetaceae bacterium. Its description in RNAcentral is "tRNA-Leu". It matches the Rfam family "tRNA". From Rfam's summary of the family: Transfer RNA (tRNA) molecules are approximately 80 nucleotides in length. Their secondary structure includes four short double-helical elements and three loops (D, anti-codon, and T loops). The record is from RNAcentral. Lineage: Bacteria; Pseudomonadati; Spirochaetota; Spirochaetia; Spirochaetales; Spirochaetaceae.